GCGAGGCCGAAAGGCGUAGUCGAUGGGAAACAGGUUAAUAUUCCUGUACUUGGUGUUACUGCGAAGGGGGGACGGAGAAGGCUAUGUUGGCCGGGCGACGGUUGUCCCGGUUUAAGCGUGUAGGCUGGUUUUCCAGGCAAAUCCGGAAAAUCAAGGCUGAGGCGUGAUGACGAGGCACUACGGUGCUGAAGCAACAAAUGCCCUGCUUCCAGGAAAAGCCUCUAAGCAUCAGGUAACAUCAAAUCGUACCCCAAACCGACACAGGUGGUCAGGUAGAGAAUACCAAGGCGCUUGAGAGAACUCGGGUGAAGGAACUAGGCAAAAUGGUGCCGUAACUUCGGGAGAAGGCACGCUGAUAUGUAGGUGAAGCGACUUGCUCGUGGAGCUGAAAUCAGUCGAAGAUACCAGCUGGCUGCAACUGUUUAUUAAAAACACAGCACUGUGCAAACACGAAAGUGGACGUAUACGGUGUGACGCCUGCCCGGUGCCGGAAGGUUAAUUGAUGGGGUUAGCGGUAACGCGAAGCUCUUGAUCGAAGCCCCGGUAAACGGCGGCCGUAACUAUAACGGUCCUAAGGUAGCGAAAUUCCUUGUCGGGUAAGUUCCGACCUGCACGAAUGGCGUAAUGAUGGCCAGGCUGUCUCCACCCGAGACUCAGUGAAAUUGAACUCGCUGUGAAGAUGCAGUGUACCCGCGGCAAGACGGAAAGACCCCGUGAACCUUUACUAUAGCUUGACACUGAACAUUGAGCCUUGAUGUGUAGGAUAGGUGGGAGGCUUUGAAGUGUGGACGCCAGUCUGCAUGGAGCCGACCUUGAAAUACCACCCUUUAAUGUUUGAUGUUCUAACGUUGGCCCCUGAUCGGGGUUGCGGACAGUGUCUGGUGGGUAGUUUGACUGGGGCGGUCUCCUCCUAAAGAGUAACGGAGGAGCACGAAGGUUGGCUAAUCCUGGUCGGACAUCAGGAGGUUAGUGCAAUGGCAUAAGCCAGCUUGACUGCGAGCGUGACGGCGCGAGCAGGUGCGAAAGCAGGUCAUAGUGAUCCGGUGGUUCUGAAUGGAAGGGCCAUCGCUCAACGGAUAAAAGGUACUCCGGGGAUAACAGGCUGAUACCGCCCAAGAGUUCAUAUCGACGGCGGUGUUUGGCACCUCGAUGUCGGCUCAUCACAUCCUGGGGCUGAAGUAGGUCCCAAGGGUAUGGCUGUUCGCCAUUUAAAGUGGUACGCGAGCUGGGUUUAGAACGUCGUGAGACAGUUCGGUCCCUAUCUGCCGUGGGCGCUGGAGAACUGAGGGGGGCUGCUCCUAGUACGAGAGGACCGGAGUGGACGCAUCACUGGUGUUCGGGUUGUCAUGCCAAUGGCACUGCCCGGUAGCUAAAUGCGGAAGAGAUAAGUGCUGAAAGCAUCUAAGCACGAAACUUGC
RNAcentral lists this ribosomal RNA (1418 nucleotides) under Escherichia coli. RNAcentral describes it as "partial 23S ribosomal RNA". It matches the Rfam family "Bacterial large subunit ribosomal RNA", at positions 1396 to 2797 of the family's 2925-position model. Lineage: Bacteria; Pseudomonadati; Pseudomonadota; Gammaproteobacteria; Enterobacterales; Enterobacteriaceae. The record is from RNAcentral.